CUCCUACGGGAGGCAGCAGUGGGGAAUUUUGGACAAUGGGGGCAACCCUGAUCCAGCCAUGCCGCGUGAGUGAAGAAGGCCUUCGGGUUGUAAAGCUCUUUCGGCCGGAACGAAAUCGCGUACGUGAACAACGUGCGUGGAUGACGGUACUGGAAGAAGAAGCACCGGCUAACUACGUGCCAGCAGCCGCGGUAAUACGUAGGGUGCGAGCGUUAAUCGGAAUUACUGGGCGUAAAGCGUGCGCAGGCGGUUCUGCAAGUCAGAUGUGAAAUCCCCGGGCUUAACCUGGGAACUGCGUUUGAAACUACGGAGCUAGAGUACGGCAGAGGGGGGUGGAAUUCCACGUGUAGCAGUGAAAUGCGUAGAUAUGUGGAGGAACACCGAUGGCGAAGGCAGCCCCCUGGGCCGAUACUGACGCUCAGGCACGAAAGCGUGGGGAGCAAACAGGAUUAGAUACCCUGGUAGUCCACGCCCUAAACUAUGUCAACUAGUUGUCGGGAAAGCAAUUUCUUGGUAACGAAGCUAACGCGUGAAGUUGACCGCCUGGGGAGUACGGUCGCAAGAUUAAAACUCAAAGGAAUUGACGG
RNAcentral lists this ribosomal RNA (587 nucleotides) under uncultured bacterium. RNAcentral's name for it is "bacterial SSU rRNA". It matches the Rfam family "Bacterial small subunit ribosomal RNA", at positions 336 to 916 of the family's 1533-position model. The record is from RNAcentral.